UAUAAGUUAACUUGAAACAUAAACAAAAUAUAAUUCUUAGCAUUUACACAACCAUUUCAAUCCCUAUACAUUCCAUAUAAACCAUAAUAUGUAUAGCAAAAUCUAUUAGAGCAAGUUAGAUAAUGUGAUCUGAAGUGUUGAUCCAAUCUCCCGAUUUCCCGAAAAUCUACAAAAAACAUUAAACAAUACAAGUAAGCUUAAUGAAGCUUAGUAAGUUCAUUGGUUUCAAUCAUAAAUCUUACCGAACAUAAUAUAAUAAUUCAUUUAAAUAAAUAAUUUUAUAUACACUUCCUGCCAAUCACAACUUCAAUUGAUGGAUCCACUUAUUCUGAUCAAUAACAAUAAUAACUUUAAAUCUUCAAACAUUAAUUCCAUAUGCCACUUACCAACCUUUAACAAAUUGGAAAACGUCUUACGAAUUUGAGUACAUCGUAUAUAGAAGCCCGAAGGCUGCACAGAAGCCCAUGAGUGCUAAACAGAAACCCAUAAGGGUUGAACAGAAGUUCAUAGGAGCUAAAUGGAAACCCAUAAGGGUUAAACUGAAGCUCAAAAGAGCUAAACGGAAACGUACUAGGGUUAAACGGAAACUCAUAUGAGUUAACUGAAGCUCAUGAGAGCUAAACGGAAAGUAAACAUUAAAGUUUGCAACAAAUGCUGAACCUCGGUUUACUUGGGUAAAUUGCUGUCAAUUUUUCCUUUGCUAGAAUGACUGCAUCAAUCCCGCAUUUCGUUCGUUUCGAACAUUCAAUUCAAUUUCAUAACUUUAACAUUAAUUUUAUUUUCAAAAAAUGAUAUAAAUAAAUACAUAAUACUAUUCAUUAAUUUAACAUUUAAAAUUUAAAUUUAACCAUACGAUCUUACCUGCGUUAAGUUGCAAGAUUUGAAGAAGUUUAAGGACUAUUCUGCUAUUUUCUCUUUUCACAUUUGUCUACGGUCUCUUGAUCUAAAAUGUAACAUUAUUCAUUCAUUAGCAUAUAUUUCAGUUUCAAUUCACUUCACAAUUAAUACCCCUCAAUUUUUUGAAAUUACACAAUUACUCCAAUUUUGACAAUUUUUACAAAUUAGUCCCUUACUAAUUAAUCCAUCAAUUGAGCUAAUUUUUUUCUCAAUUGGAAAUUUAUCUAAACAUUCUAGGCUAAUAUACAGCUCUUGAUAUCCAUAAUUUCAACACUAAACCCUAAUUGUUAACCUUUUCACAAUUUGGUCCUAAAAUCAAUAUUUAUCAAAAUCACUUGAUAAAAUCCUCAUAUAAUAAAAUUAAAGCUCUAAAUAUAUUAAUUCAUCACAAAAGUCCAGAACUCACCAAUGCUAAGUUUCAAAAUUAUCUAUAAAAUCAAAAACUAAUGAAUUAGAUAGUUAGACCUAAUUGUAAAAGUCUUAAAAACACAAAAAAAUUUAAGAAAAGAGCAAAAAUUGAACUCAAAUGAUGUAAAAAUAUGAAAAAUCAGCUUUUGGAGACCCUUCUAUGGUAUUGGCUGAAGAUUGAUGAAGAAAUGUCUAGAAUUCAAUUUAGUCACUUGUUUCAAUUUUUAUCUUAAUUCCCAAAUGACCAUUUUGACCCUAAGUCAUCCAAUUUCAAGAUUUUUCUCUGCACAUACCGUUUCAGCCUUUUUACAAGUGUUUAAUUGCCUUUCUGGUCCUCGCUUAUUUAACACUUAAGCUAUUUAAUCUCUAUUUCUUUAACUAGCAAGUUUUGCACCUUUUUCAAUUUAGUCCUUUUUAUUUAAUUAACUAUCAAAAUGUUAAAAUUUUCUAACAAAUAUUUAAUACUAACUUAAUGGCACUUCGUAAAUAUUUAUAAAAAUAUUUACGGCUCGGUUUAUGAAAUCGAGGUCUCGAUACCUCAUUUUCAAACCCAAUUUACCUAAUAAAUUCUUCUAAAUCACAAAUUACUAAUUCAAAUGUCUUUCUAAAGUCAAACUUGACUCAUAAAUAAUAACUAAUAAAUUUUCGAACUCACUCGUCGGAUUUAAUGGUCUUGAACCACUGUUUUCGAUAUCACUAAAUUCAAGUCGUUACAAAAAACUUUGGAUAACUUAUUUAAUUGAUUUUGAUAUUUGAAAUUUCAAUUUUCAAUAUUGAAAAAAAAAUUUAGAAAUUUCAACAAGGAGGUAAACAAGUACAUUUUGACAAUUUUUAAAGCAUUAUUUUAGUUUUUACCGCUUUUUCACUUUAAUCUUUAUUUUUUUAUCCCGAUCAAUAUUUUAAAAAAAAGAAGAAGAUAUUUUUUGAGUGACCAAAAUGAAAGCAAGCUAUAAGUUGGGUGACCACAAUGAAAGUGUGAACAUGAUGUGGUGUGUACAAGUUAAUUGCCGUUAAAAAUUUAACGUUUAGGUGACUAAAAUAAAAAUACUCUAAAAGUUAAAAAACGAAAUUACAAAGAUUUCAUUUUGAGUCACCAAAUUAAAAUCUCCCCAAAAAUUUGAGAGGACUAAAUCGUACAAAAUGAUCUAAAGAAGAAAGAAAAGAGAGCUAACUUUACUAUUUAUGUUUAAUCAUAUGACACAUGAAUUUAGAUAAAAUGAUUUAAAAUAUAUUACAAUAUGAGAAGGUUAUCAAAUAGAAAUUAUCAAAGUUAGUAGAGGGUGAAGAUAGAUACUGAAGGUAAUUGAAAAGGCUCGUAUAUUGUGAGAAAUAAAUUUGAGUAUUGACUAAAUUGUAAGAGAGUGAAAAGUAUUGGGGCAAAAGUGAGAGAAUUAAGAGUUGGAGUGAUUAGAUUGAAUUGAAGGGAAAAAGAGGAGGGAUUAGAGGUGAAAUUUUACCAAAAGAGAGUAUGACUAUGAAUGGUAUUGUAGAGAAAGUUGAUGGACUAAAUGGUCAACCUAUAAUUUAGAUAAUUAUAACAUGUUAAUGGUUAAGGACUAAAUUGAUGUAGAAUGAUAAGUGGUGGAAAUAUUUUAAUGUUUAUUUUUUAAAAUUAUUAAACUAAUAGAUAUUAUUUUAGAAACAUGAAGAAAGGAUGAUGGCAUUUAUUCAUCUUUUCUCUCCCACACGUUACUUCCUUCAUGAACAAAAUUAAGUUUUAGUUUUUAUUCAUUUUAGUCUAUUUUCCACCAUUUCCAAGUCUUCCAAGCUUAACUCCUCCAAUUUUCUUUAUGAAUAUUUAGUGAAAUCAAUAGAAAAACUUAGUAGCUAUCUUAGUUUCAUGAGAAGUGCAACCAUAGUUGUCUUAGAGGAGAGAGAAAAUAAGAAUUAAGGUUUGAUCAUAAGAGAUUAAGGUAAGUAUGAUCAGUUUUUCAUGAAUUUCAUGUUAGUUUUGUUUAAAGAACAUAGAUAUGUUAUUUGAUUAUAAUUUUGAUAAGUAAAUCUUGUAUGCUUUUAUGUGAAAAUGAAGAAAAUUAGGAGAAGCAAACAACAAGUUGGUGACAAAGGCAAAGAAAAAACCAAAGAAUAGAAGAAGGCAAAGAAAGCUUGAUUCCAAGCCUUUGGUAGUAAGUACAACAAUACUUUUUACUUAAUAAAUAUCUAAGUAUAGAAUUUUGUUAGAUCAACUAUAUUAAUAUUUAUGUGAUUAAUAUUGUACAUGAAUAUGUUAAUACUUAGUUGAUAUUAAUUAGUGAAUGUGUUGAAAUUUAUUGGAUAUCAAUUACAAGGUAAUAAUAUUAUGUUUUGUAUUGAAAGUUUGAGAAAAGGGACUAAUUUGUAAAAUGGGGAAAAGUUUAUAUGAAAGGUAAAAAUUAUGAAUGAAUAUAUGUAUUUAUAUAUAUGAAGUGAUAUAUGCUAUUGAAUGAUUUAUGUCAUGAUUUUGAACUAUUAUGAGAAUGAUUGUGGAGUUUUGAACUGAUGGGGAUUAAAUUGAAAAAAAAAUUCAAAAGUAUAUAAAUUUUGUUCUGAAAUGUAAAUGAGAAAUUGACUCUAUUAUAUUUGUCCAUAUAGGCAAGAUAUGAACUAGUAAAGUAUAGAUGACAUGCCAUUAGAAAGCAUUUAGUGUGCUCUUUGUUCUGUUAAUGCACUUCGAUGCCACUUUGUUUUGAUUAAACACUUCAACUCUAUUAUGUUUUAACAUAGCACUCUGAUGCUACUAUGUUCUAUUAUUGCACUUUAGUGCAUCUUUGUAUUACUUUUGCAUAUUCUACAUGUUCUGUUAAAUAUACAUUGGACAUUCGAUAAAUUCUAAAAGAUAAAAUAAGGUUAAGAUUAUUGUGUUAAGAUUAAGCAUAAGUGACUGGAAUGAUAAUGAAUUCAAGCAUAAUAAAUGAGGUAUAGUAUAGAAAUUCUAUUGAUGUUAAGCUCUAAACUUAAUUAUUAUAACAUUUUUGUAUUUUGUUUACAUUUAAUUAAUGAAAAGGUAAGUUUAAUUCUCAUCGUAUUUACUAAGCUUUCACAAGCUUACUGCAUUAUUUUUAAUGCGUGGGUAAAGAUGUGAAGUGAGGAUUUGUCGAGGAUCAAUCUCUUCACAUCUUAAAGACUUGAAGAAGAAGAGUAUGAAAUCUCCACCAUUUUGAUCUAAGUAAAUGGCAUGUACAUAGGCGAAAUAAUGAGUAAGAAAUGGUAAGGAGAGAUUGAUUGAUAGACAUGACGAAACACUGAAAACUAUCUUUACAUCUAUGGUCCAACUCAUGAAUUAAAUGGAGAUUUUACAUUCGGCUAGGGUUCCAUCUUAUUAAAAUUUCCCCAACUUUUAAUUAUUUUUAUUCCUAUACUAAAUUUUAAAUUUAAUAAGAAUUAUGGUCGAUGUCUAUGAAUUUCACCCUAGUGAUCAUUAGCAUGAUUAUUUUGUAUGGUCUCGACAACCCUACACUAAUCUUAAUGGACUGAAAUAAAUUACAAGAGCCGAUGUGCUCAAAUGUGGACCAAAACCUCGAAACUAAAAAUAGUAAAGAAAUAAGGCAAAAAAAUGUUUACCUUACAAGGACUAGGUGCAUUGAUAUGUGGAUAUUCAUAAUUCUCGCCGAGACAAAAUGCAGUCGAGCCAUUAAUCAGACAGAUUAACGUUGAAAAGAAAACCCUAAAAUAAGGGAUAAAGGUGGAUUAUAAAAGGUUUGCAACAUUGCAUCAUUGUAUUAAAACUUAUAAACCUGCCUUGAAACUGUAUAGGAAAGAUGCAGCGGUGGAAAUUAUGAAACCCCCAUGCAACUAUUCAUAUAUUGAGAUUUCAAUCCUUUUAUGUUCCAUAAACCUGUAAUACAUUUGUAAACAAAUUAGGUUGGCAGUUUCAAUCCAAAGUCAUACAGAUUAGGUGCUGGUCACCGCAAAUUCUAAUAUUUAUAGAGUUGGAAAGUAUGGGAGAGAGCGAGUUUUGAAAAAGCAUGACGAUAGUAAAGAAAAAGAAUAAGAAGACGAGAAAGAAGAGAAGUUGGAGGGACAAGAAUAUCGUAAGGAGGAGAAAGGAGAUAAGAAGGAGGAGGAGGAGAAGAAAGAUGAGGAGUGUGAAGAUAAGGAGGAUAAAGAAGGUGGUGGAAAGGAGGAGGAGGAGAAGAAGUUUCAAGAUAAGAAGAAGAAUUUAGAGAUAAAUAUGGAGAUGGGUGUAAAUAAAAGAAAUCAACCCAUUGUAUUAUAUUGUGUAGUAUGAUAAUUUACAAGUAAAUCAAAUUGAGCCAAAAGGAGAAUUUAUCUGCUAAUUGUUUCCUUUGAAGGAGAUGAUUCAACGCCUGCAAUUGGGGCCUAUGUAAUGCUAAUUUCACUCAACUCUGGACUUUUGAGUAGUCCCAAAUGUAUUAUCUUUCACUAUAUCUUCCAAACUUUUAUUUAACUUUUUAAGGGGU
This 5705-nucleotide long non-coding RNA is filed under the name Gossypium barbadense (sea-island cotton). RNAcentral's name for it is "long non-coding RNA (GBAR_LNC017616)". Lineage: Eukaryota; Viridiplantae; Streptophyta; Magnoliopsida; Malvales; Malvaceae. The record is from RNAcentral.